UCUUUAGUAGCUCAGAGGUAGAGCAGACGGCUGUUAACCGUUUUGACGGUGGUUCAAAUCCAUCUUAAAGAG
This 72-nucleotide transfer RNA is filed under the name Coscinodiscus wailesii. RNAcentral's name for it is "tRNA-Asn". It matches the Rfam family "tRNA". From Rfam's summary of the family: Transfer RNA (tRNA) molecules are approximately 80 nucleotides in length. Their secondary structure includes four short double-helical elements and three loops (D, anti-codon, and T loops). Lineage: Eukaryota; Bacillariophyta; Coscinodiscophyceae; Coscinodiscales; Coscinodiscaceae. The record is from RNAcentral.